UGGCUCAGGAUGAACGCUGGCGGCGUGCUUAACACAUGCAAGUCGAACGAAACACCUUAUUUGAUUUUCUUCGGAACUGAAGAUUUGGUAAUUGAGUGGCGGACGGGUGAGUAACGCGUGGGUAACCUGCCCUGUACAGGGGGAUAACAGUCAGAAAUGACUGCUAAUACCGCAUAAGACCACAGCACCGCAUGGUGCAGGGGUAAAAACUCCGGUGGUACAGGAUGGACCCGCGUCUGAUUAGCUGGUUGGUGAGGUAACGGCUCACCAAGGCGACGAUCAGUAGCCGGCUUGAGAGAGUGAACGGCCACAUUGGGACUGAGACACGGCCCAAACUCCUACGGGAGGCAGCAGUGGGGAAUAUUGCACAAUGGGGGAAACCCUGAUGCAGCGACGCCGCGUGAGUGAAGAAGUAUCUCGGUAUGUAAAGCUCUAUCAGCAGGGAAGAAAAUGACGGUACCUGACUAAGAGGCCCCGGCUAACUACGUGCCAGCAGCCGCGGUAAUACGUAGGGGGCAAGCGUUAUCCGGAAUUACUGGGUGUAAAGGGUGCGUAGGUGGUAUGGCAAGUCAGAAGUGAAAACCCAGGGCUUAACUCUGGGACUGCUUUUGAAACUGUCAGACUGGAGUGCAGGAGAGGUAAGCGGAAUUCCUAGUGUAGCGGUGAAAUGCGUAGAUAUUAGGAGGAACAUCAGUGGCGAAGGCGGCUUACUGGACUGAAACUGACACUGAGGCACGAAAGCGUGGGGAGCGAACAGGAUUAGAUACCCUGGUAGUCCACGCCGUAAACGAUGAAUAAUAGGUGUCGGGGCCGUAGAGGCUUCGGUGCCGCAGCCAACGCAAGUAAGUAUUCCACCUGGGGAGUACGUUCUCAAGAAUAAAACUCAAAAAAAUUAACACACACCCCCACACCCCCUCCAUCAUUUAUUUUAAUUCAAAACAACACGAAAAACCUUACCUAUUCUUUACAUCCUUCUUACCNAUCCUUAACCAAACCUUUCCUUCUUUACAACAAUAACACAUAAUACAUAAUUAUCUUCACCUCUUCUCUUUAAAUAUUAUAUUAAAUCCCCCAACCAACACAACCCCUAUCUUUAUUAUCCACCAUAUAAAAUACCCACUCUAUAAAAACUCCCACCCAUAACCUAUAAAAAAAUAAAAACAACAUCAAAUCAUCAUUCCCCUUAUUACCACACCUACACACCUCCUACAAUAACAUAAACAAAAAAAAACACCCUCCUCAUAAUAAACAAAUCCCAAAAAUAACA
RNAcentral lists this ribosomal RNA (1267 nucleotides) under uncultured bacterium. Its description in RNAcentral is "partial 16S ribosomal RNA". It matches the Rfam family "Bacterial small subunit ribosomal RNA", at positions 20 to 1285 of the family's 1533-position model. The record is from RNAcentral.